RNA transcript from Sebastes umbrosus (honeycomb rockfish), 6316 nucleotides. It is a transcript of the gene named transmembrane protein 265, with no coding region annotated. NCBI's taxonomy places the organism in Eukaryota, Metazoa, Chordata, Actinopteri, Perciformes, Sebastidae. The transcript has 3 exons. The record is from RefSeq and is a predicted model, not a curated record.
AUUAACUUCCACAGCUGCUGGAAGACAAGGGGGAGGAGGAGAGACAGGAGAGGAAGGGUGGGAGGUCUGUGGAGUGGAGCACGUAGCCUGCUUACAAAUUAACACCACAACCAAACUCGGACAGCGUGCAGUGAGUUUCUCUCUCCCUGCUGUUGCAGCUCUGCCUCCCCUCUCUCUCUCUCUCCCUCUCUCUCUCUCUCUCUCUCAUGAGCCAUCUUCUCGGGCUCCGCGUUGAUGCUGCUGCUUGAUGCUCCACUUCGGACCGACUUCCUCCGGUUGCUGCGCACCGAGCAGCAGCAGCAGCAUCAGCAGCAGCAGCAUCAGUACCACAUUACACGACUCUCUGCAACCGACAACCACGGAUAGACCCCGGACACUGCAGGAGGUGACAGAUCCAGAAUCAGAUCGAGCCUCUGCAUUAACCACGGAGACAUCGGCCAUGCCAGAUCUGCUCGGGGAGAGGAGGGGAAAUCUUGAUAAGUAUUUUAUUUUUUUUGCUCCUCCAAAGUCUGCUCGGUGAUGACUUCCCACUCGAGAUGAGCCUUCUCCCGGACUCUAUCCAAACACCCGGGCUGUGAGAUAUACAAGACUUUUAUCACCGAUAAAACUCGGCUCAUCAACGACAAUAAAAGACACUUUAUUAGUCACCGACUGCGCUCCUCUACUUGGAAGGAAAAAAGCACAUUUAUUGGCUGCAAAUCAAAAGAGCCAGGAGGAUCGAGAGUGCGAGACGAAUGGUUUGGGUAACUAAAAAAAAAAAAGCUUCACUUUCCUUUUCUCCCAGCAGCCAUGCACGGAUAUAUUAUAAACCCACAGUAUACCUGCUGUUAAUAGGGCAGUUAUGAAACAGGUGUUGCAGGAGAAGCGGUUUCAUAGAGAUUGUUAAAUUGCCAGAGGAUGCAAGGCGUCGCACUGCAUGCUGGGGCUGAUAACCACAUUUUCCAAGGAAAUGUGAUAACUAACUGUAAAAAAAAAACAAAAAGCCCCUUAGGGCAACAUUUCACAAAUCAACAGAUGUUUCAGUCAUGUGGCUGGAGAGAGGGAUUUAUUCAUUAUCAGGGCUUGCACACUGCCUGGCUCUCCAUUAAUUAAUUAGUUUGCACAUAAUGACAUAGAUGUUUGUCCUGAUGCCCUUGGUGCUCCAGUGGCACCUGUGAUAACUAGUGGAGGAUCUGGUCUUUGAUGUGAUGUGAAAACUGUCUGCUUGUGGAGAUAAACCGGUGGGUGUAAACAAACUAAUCUUGGCUGUGCAUGGAUUUCUGUCCACCUGGAAAUCACCCAAUAUUAAUAGAAAACAAAUGAAAGUGGCAAACCCGCCCCCUGCUUUAUCUCUGUCAGGCUUUUUUUUUGGACGAUUACUGGUGCAGAUGGAGGGAGAGCCAUGUGUACUGGUGUCACACAAGCUUAUAGACAACAAGUGACGGGGGAAAAAUUGAUUUUCUUCACUACAAAAAACGAGAACGCAAAAAAUUUCACCUGAACACUAUUACAUGUCAUUACUCAUGCUUACAGCGAAAUAGGUUCCCUCACCUCGUCAAUGGCAGUGUCAUUUUCCCAGACAGGGGGAUGAUGAAUUGGGUCAUUAUUGAUGAGCUGGAGUGGACACACGGGCUGUCAUCCCAGUCCCUCACUCAGAACAGAAUAAAUUACGCGGUGUUGACAGGGAGUCAAAAACACAAACACAGGCUGACAGGGAGAUAUCCAGGGUGAAAUUUAAGGCUCAGGUGGAAUAUCUUAAGAGGCACGGCCUCGAGAAAAAGCCAGCUGCCAACACUGGCUGUAAACUUCUCCAUCCCCCUCCCUUCUCUUCCCUUCAGAUUGGGUUUGUUCCCUGAGAAAGAAAAAUUUAAAUUCCAAUAUCCUCUCAAUCUGCGACUUGGUGGAAUUCAUUCAAUUUUGGGGGGAAUGGUAAUCAAGUUGCAGUAAGCGCUGAGACAAAAGGCUCCAUAGACAAUCAGAUAUUACGAAUGCUGGCAUGAUCCACGCCUGUCCUCCCACCACGCCUCCGAGCGGAUUAAUCAGUCGAGAUCGUUCCUUUCCUCAUCUCUUUGAUUCAUCUGUUGCAGAACAAACUCUAAUGUCUGUGACAUUUCAAUAGCCCCGGUGAUGAAUACAUUUGGAUUCAUCCAGGCCAGGCUGGCGCAUGAACUGCACAUCUUCAUAGAAGUGGGUGGAAGUCACUUUCUAUCUGCAUUCGAGUCUUCCUCUUCAUCACUUUCACCCCCUCUCACCCUGAGCUUAUUUAUGAACUAUUACCAUCACGCAGUAACACUUUAUUAGGAAUGUAGACAGCCAAGAGGCCUAUUAAUCUUUCACAUGCAGUCGUAUGCUCAUUCUCCUUCACACACACACAAUCUCAAACCCUCUUUUUUCACCCAGCGGAGCUCCUCAGCCCUCUUCAAUGAUUCAGACAGCACUGAGGAGAUGGCAGAGCUCCUGUUAGUCUUACAGUGAGGGAAGAUAUCAAUACACACUUUUCACUGGCAGACUUUUCUCAGAGGCCGCAAUCGCGCCGACAAUCUCUCGCUCGAUCACGCUGAACUGUUGCCAUUACGACACAUCUGAGCUGGUAGUGAUUUUGUAUUAUAAUGGCAUCGAUCCAGCUGAGGGGUUGACACCCCCGAGUGGUGCUGAGCAGAUAACAGACAGUCCACUGGUCUGUGCUGUGCUUUUCAGCUAAAUACGAUAAAGAGACGUCGGUUCGAUUACACUGUAAAAAUCAAUGAUCGUUCCUCCCGUUGUGUCAAUAUUGAGGUUUAUGCAGUCCGUGGCUGAGAUAUGAGCUGCAAAAAAAAUAAAAAUUAACCCUCGUGAUCAGCAGAAUUAGCAUUACCUUCAUGCACUCCUCAGACAUACACAGUGUGUACACAAAGACACGAGUCACAUUUCCAAACAAAUAGCAAGUUAUCCAUAUUCAUCUGAAAUGAGAGGGGGAUUUGAGAUGAUUAAAGACUGCAGCGCAGUAUGAGAAUAAACACGGCAGACUAUAGAGGCAAAGGAAAGGCUUUGACGGGGCACCUAGCUGCGCUCGAAUGCAAUUAAUUAAUAAUGAAUAAGAUGAGAACAAAAAAGAAGAGAAACAACAAUAAUACACCGAAAAAAGUAACAGCAGAGAGGAAAGUCUGUGAAUCAAAAAGAAUCACAGCUAGGACCUUUAUGGAAAAUGAACAGUAUCUAAUUCAAAGAGCUGCAGAGUUACAAAAAAAAGAAGAAAACACAAUUUAACAGGCUACUCAGCCUGAGCAGCCAGGGUAGAUGUAGCUCUGGCCAAAGAUGAAGGGCGCACACUGUUUAAUAGGCAGCCAAUGACUUUAACCAUAGCAACAAGCAUCAAACUAUUUUACAUUCGGUUUUGAAUUAGUGCUAGGAAAAACAAGCAUGUUCUUAUUCUGCAAAUUUGUCAGUUUUGUUGAGGACAGAUGGCACCGCGUGGAGCGAUGGGAGCAGAUUUAACUGCGUGCAUGUGUGUGUGUCUCUUUCAGGCAUGGUGCCCACGCCCCAGGUGUGCGUAUCAACCCUGGUCACAGUGAGCACGAUGGCAGUGGUGGACCUCUACCUGCUGGAGCAGAGCAUGCUGGGGUCUCGCGGUCCCCCGGGGCCUGGCGUGUGGCAGUGUGCUGCGGUGUUGCUAGGUGAUGUGGGCUUCCUGCUCGCGCUGCGCUUCGUGUCAGCCGGCGUGACAUCAGAGGCGCGGUCGCCGCGUCGUGGCUUCGCCAACGCCCUCUGGUUCCUGUUCCUGUCGCUGCUCCAGCUCAAGCUCUUCUUCGUCUGCCACAACUACAGGCAGGAGCGCCGGCCGCCCGACCCGCUGGCCAGGAAGACGCUGACGCUGCUGCUGUCCAUCUGCUUGCCCUCCCUGUUUCUCAUCCUGACGGGAGCUGACCACAUGACGCCGCAGCGCAGGAAGCAGGAGGUGCGGGGCCGGCUCCUGUGGGUGGUGGUGGACCUGCUGGAUGUGCUGGACCUGCAGGCAGGGCUCUGGGAGGCCCAAGGUGGGGCUGCAGCGGGGACUGGAGGGGUCGUUGAGCAGAGGCUGCCCAUCUGGGCCGAGGGCCUGGUCUUCUUUUACUGCUACGCCCUCCUGCUGCUGCUGCCCUGCGUGGCCCUCACAGAGCUGGGGGCCACCGGCCUGCCAGGACAGAGGGGGCCCCGUAAGGAGGCUUUGUACCCCUGGCUCAGCCUAGUCACUAUCAACAUCUUCACCUUGGCCCUGAGGGGCACAGGUAUGCUGUGGUACAGGGACCCCCGUGUGUCCACGGUGUUCCUGGGGAAGAACCUGCUGGCUCUGGGUGUGAAGCUGAGCUCCGCCUGGGAGAGACACAAGCAGGAGCGCGGCGCAGCAGGAGCCGGGACGGUGGCUGGAGCAGAACCAGGAGACUCGACCCUGCCAAACCAGAGCUCAGAGCAGGGAGAGAGCCAGGCCCAGGGGAAAGCUCCUCCCUCUCAUUAUCACACACUGUCUCGCUCCCAAAGCCACACUCUCUCCCACGUCAGCCUGGAGCCCACAGAGACGCCCCUAGGACCUUCUUUCAUCUCCCAUGAACUCUAGAGAGUCACUCUUCAACAUGCACGCAUGCACAAAAGCAUGUGAUCACGCCCACAUUUGAAAACUCAGACCAGCAGAGCCAGUAUCACAUCCAAACAGAUAACUUGUAUUGAAUUUCAGUACAUCAGUGAUGGGUAUAAUGCCCGAGCUGUGGAAAUGCAUUUGGCAGGCUUGGCUUUCUGCACAUUUUGUAGUGCUAAGAAUAACUCAAAAAGCAUUGCUGGGAUUUGUGGGAGUGUAUUUUUUAAAUUGAACACUGUGAACACAUUUAUCAGCCUGUAAAGAAUAUUCCAGAAAUGUAUGUUGAAGUCUAGUAGUGUUUUAAUCCCUUCUUUAAUCUGGGCACAGCCGCCCAAACUGCCACUCAUUUGUUGUUGCAUUCAGACACCUGUUUUAAUUCUGCUCCUCCAUAUACAGCAUCUCAUCUGUGGUUUCCGCAUUUGUUAAAUUUGAGUUCAGGUCAUGUGGCUCGUCGGAAAAAUUUUAUCAACCCUCUUCUGUCAUUAAGAUCCCAAAAUACAGACGUGACCUUUAGUGAAGUUUUUUUUCUCUGUCACUUUACCGGGACCUUUCACAGAGAGAAAGUUAAAUACAGAAGAGGGAUGAUUUAUUUUUCUCUUCAGUAACACAAAGCCAGGAUGCUCACACUCAACACGGUGCUCCAGUAUUUCAGUGUAAAGUCAAACCCAGUGGAUCCAAACCCUUCCGACUUGUAGCCCUUUAAAUCACUCACGACCCCAAGUGAUGUUCACCUCUUAGAUUUUUCUCAUUUUAAUACAUUUUAGAGGCCUGAAGGGUUAAAGCUAUUAAAGCUAUCCAGUUUUUCAAAAGCAAGAGAAGAAAAUAAAAAUAAUGUGUAGAAGAUGUUUUCUCCUCAUAUCCUAUCUUGUUUUAUACUCUCUUGCAACCCCUCAGAGGGUCCCUACACCUGGGCAACACAAGUGUCGUGGUGCCAGAUUUUCAUUCAAACCAAACAGAAACACAGUUGUCUGGCUGGAAAUGCUAACCACUGUGGUGUUUGGUUGGAGUGAAAACCUGCAGACUUCAACCUGUUCUCACUCCCAGCUCGUUAAAUACUGCUGAAUGGGCAGCUCCAACAUCAGAAACCGACACACGGAAGAAGCCUUUAGAGACUGUAUGUGAUGAACUGGGCUUUCAACUAACUCCGGUGUAAACCUACCCACGGUGUUAUUUGACGGUCGGAGCAAGUGACGUAGUAUUAAUAGCGUGAUGGUACGUGUCCACAGCCUCUGUCCUUUCCAUGCUUCCCAUUCAUUGUAUAUGUAAGCAGCCGUGCAAUGUAUUCUGGUAGCGUAGUGGCGCGAUUCGAGAGACGGGGCAUCACGAUGGCUGCUUCUCAUUUGCAUUAAGUUGAGGUCAAGGCUACGUAAUGCAAAUCAGGGGCGUCUGGCGCAACUCACCGCCUCUGCAAACUCCCCAGAAACUUUUAAACUAACCCUUGUUGAUCAAAAAUGAAGACAGAUUCAGCAAAUGCAUGGCUUAUUUCUCGCAUAAAAUGCUUUCAGAAACACAUUUCAUUUAACUAUUUUCGUGAUGUAAGAGAAGAAAGCUUACCAACAAAGCGCCAUGUUGGUUCUGGUUUGAAAGCUAGAAGGAGCAGCCCACGAGGGAAUGCAUCCGUCCAAUCAGGUGCCUAGUGUCUUGUGUCUAGUGGCAGCCCAUCAAGCGUCCAAUGCAGGGAAGCGAGACGAUCCCUCGAGAUAAAAAACACCCAUGUGGACACGUACCAAAAAUGUGAGAGGUCCAGCA